CGAUCGGUUCGUCAGUCAGUCAGACUACGGACUUUCGCCAAAUGCUUUCGUGCUCUAGUUGUGCAACUAUAGAUCUUAGAUAUCGAUGGUUUUCGCUGAAAUUCUAAUAAACUAAUCACAUUUUCUAUGACAUACACUUAUGAAAUGUAAAGAAAAAGUAAUACACUCGCCGAUAAAAUUUUCCUGCGCCAGUAGAACAACUCCCAUCCGCCCCUGGCAACCGACCAAGUAAUAAAUUACGACACCGGAAAAGCAUCACUUAAACUCAAUACGCCUGACAAACAAGAUGGUUUACACGGAAGUCAUUAAACAAUUUUUGGUAGCUGUUUUGAUUACAUGCGUGUGUGCCAAAUCUGUCGAACUCAAAUCGGACAACCCCCAAAACCAAAUUGGCAACAAAGAUUCCGGAUAUCCAUUUAAUGUACAAGAAACCAGCACUGGAAUACGAAGUGUGGGAUCUCGAGGAACCUACCAGCACUCCAAUGAAAAAAUUAAAACAGCUCGUAAUUUUGGACGUUCGUCCAAUAACGGAUACAUUAAACCGAAUUUGAAUGACUUACUGGACAAAUUACCAACCCGCGGUAAACUGUUUUCGAAUUAUCAAACGACCACAGUCUCCAAAAUAAUCUGAAUAUGAUCAUUUAUUAAUUGGAAAAGGUUUGUAAAUUUUUGUACUACGUGCUCGUAGGUGUAAAUCUGUACGACAAUAAAAGUUAGCCACCUUGAAA
Long non-coding RNA from Photinus pyralis (common eastern firefly), 728 nucleotides. RefSeq lists it as uncharacterized. The transcript is spliced from 2 exons. The record is from RefSeq and is a predicted model, not a curated record. Lineage: Eukaryota; Metazoa; Arthropoda; Insecta; Coleoptera; Lampyridae.